RNAcentral lists this ribosomal RNA (328 nucleotides) under uncultured eukaryote. RNAcentral describes it as "partial 18S ribosomal RNA". It matches the Rfam family "Eukaryotic small subunit ribosomal RNA", at positions 1470 to 1796 of the family's 1831-position model. The record is from RNAcentral.
CCCUUAGAUGUCCUGGGCCGCACGCGCGUUACACGGAUGCAUUCAACGAGCUUAUAACCUUGGCCGAGAGGCCUGGGCAAUCUUGUUAACGUGCAUCGUGAUAGGGAUAGAUUAUUGAAAUUAUUAAUCUUGAGCGAGGAAUUCCUAGUAAACGCAGAUCAUCAAUCUGCAUUGAUUACGUCCCUGCCCUUUGUACACACCGCCCGUCGCACCUACCGAUUGGAUGGUCCGGUGAAGCCUCGGGAUUGUGGUUCUUGCCGCUUUAUUGUGGCGUGACCGCGAGAACUUGUCUAAACCUUAUCAUCUAGAGGAAGGUGAAGUCGUAACA